Molecule: transfer RNA, 68 nt
Filed under: Pseudosquilla ciliata
Lineage: Eukaryota; Metazoa; Arthropoda; Malacostraca; Stomatopoda; Pseudosquillidae
Description: tRNA-Gln
Rfam family: tRNA
About the family: Transfer RNA (tRNA) molecules are approximately 80 nucleotides in length.
Source: RNAcentral
UAUACUCUAGUGUAAGGGCACGUUAGAUUUUGAUUCUUGAGGCAAUGGGUCAACCCCAUUGAGUAUAA